This 1051-nucleotide ribosomal RNA is filed under the name Hortaea werneckii. RNAcentral describes it as "partial large subunit ribosomal RNA". It matches the Rfam family "Eukaryotic large subunit ribosomal RNA", at positions 52 to 1047 of the family's 3401-position model. The record is from RNAcentral. Lineage: Eukaryota; Fungi; Ascomycota; Dothideomycetes; Mycosphaerellales; Teratosphaeriaceae.
CUACGGGAAGAAACACAGGGAUGCCCUAGUAACGGCGAAGUGAAGCGGCAACAGCUCAAAUUUGAAAUCUGGCGCAAGCCCGAGUUGUAAUUUGUAGAGGAUGCUUCUGGGCAGCGGCCGGUCUAAGUUCCUUGGAACAGGACGUCAUAGAGGGUGAGAAUCCCGUAUGCGACCGGCUUGCACCCGUCACGUAGCUCCUUCGACGAGUCGAGUUGUUUGGGAAUGCAGCUCUAAAUGGGAGGUAAAUUUCUUCUAAGGCUAAAUACCGGCCAGAGACCGAUAGCGCACAAGUAGAGUGAUCGAAAGAUGAAAAGCACUUUGGAAAGAGAGUUAAAAAGCACGUGAAAUUGUUGAAAGGGAAGCUCACGCAACCAGACUUGUCGGCGGUGUUCCGCCGGUCUUCUGACCGGUCUACUCGCCGCCGGCAGGCCAGCAUCACUUGGGAGCGCCGGAUAAAGGCGUGCGGAAUGUAGCCCCUCGGGGCAUUAUAGCCGCGCGCACAAUACGGCGCCUCCCGAGUGAGGUCCGCGCUUUGGCUAGGAUGCUGGCGUAAUGGUUGCUUGAGGCCCGUCUUGAAACACGGACCAAGGAGUCUAACAUCUAUGCGAGUGUUCGGGUGUCAAACCCCUACGCGGAAUGAAAGUGAACGGAGGUGGGAACCGCACGGUGCACCAUCGACCGAUCCUGAUGUCUUCGGAUGGAUUUGAGUAAGAGCAUAGCUGUUGGGACCCGAAAGAUGGUGAACUAUGCCUGAAUAGGGUGAAGCCAGAGGAAACUCUGUGGAGGCUCGCAGCGGUUCUGACGUGCAAAUCGAUCGUCAAUUUGGGUAUAGGGGGCGAAAGACUAAUCGACCAUCUAGUAGCUGGUUCUGCGAGUCUCCCUCUCUCGAAAUGAAUCAGUUGUUCGUUAAGUCCUCGGCAUAUAACUAAUUUGACGAUGGAUUGCAGGUCCGAACCGCUUCGCUCCUGAGUUCCAUGCUCCUAGCAGCAGUAACCUUAGGUCAACUCUCUAAGUCAAACUGAGUGAUGGUACUGUGCAUUAUCCGCAAGCG